AGGACGAACGCUGGCGGCGUGCUUAACACAUGCAAGUCGAGCGAGGCCCUUCCUUCGGGAAGGUGCCCUAGCGGCGAACGGGUGAGUAACACGUGGGCAACCUGCCCCUAGCACUGGGAUAACUCCGGGAAACCGGGGCUAAUACCGGAUAUGACCUUCGAGGGCAUCCUUGAAGGUGUAAAGGAUUCUGGCUAGGGAUGGGCCCGCGGCCUAUCAGCUUGUUGGUGGGUAAUGGCCUACCAAGGCGACGACGGGUA
This 257-nucleotide ribosomal RNA is filed under the name uncultured bacterium. RNAcentral describes it as "partial small subunit ribosomal RNA". It matches the Rfam family "Bacterial small subunit ribosomal RNA", at positions 26 to 285 of the family's 1533-position model. The record is from RNAcentral.